GCUCUAGCUCAGUGAACACAGACUACACAUAUCCACGCUAUCCAUAUGAGCAACCAUAUCUAUUUAACCUCCAUCACCCACAUACAGUUCCUGAUCCACAUGCAUAUCCAUCACUUCAAGUUAGGCCCUAUUUCCCACCCAUAUAUGGUGCCUAUAGAUUACCCAACAUGCAAGAUGCUUCCUAUGUGCAGGAUCAAGGAUAUGCGGCAUAUGCUGACUAUGUCGCAUAUGGGGCCUACGGAGGCUAUGGCUAUGGCUCGUAUCAACAGGACGAGUCCGAAUAAUAAACUCCAUGUGGUAUGUAUCGUGUGAACUACUAUGUAUUAUGAACUUUGGCGAUGAUGGUUUGUAAGGACUAUGGUUGUGAUGAUUUGUAUGGACUAUGGUUGUGAUGACUUGUAUGGACUAUGAUUGUGAUGAUUUGUAUGGACUAUUAUUGUGAUGAUCUAUAUGGCCUGUGGAUGUGAAUUUCUAUUUAUAUGGAUAUGAACUUCUAUUC
Panicum virgatum (switchgrass) is the source of this 499-nucleotide long non-coding RNA. RefSeq lists it as uncharacterized. NCBI's taxonomy places the organism in Eukaryota, Viridiplantae, Streptophyta, Magnoliopsida, Poales, Poaceae. The transcript is spliced from 2 exons. The record is from RefSeq and is a predicted model, not a curated record.